RNAcentral lists this transfer RNA (64 nucleotides) under chicken gut metagenome. It matches the Rfam family "tRNA", at positions 6 to 65 of the family's 71-position model. Rfam says of the family: Transfer RNA (tRNA) molecules are approximately 80 nucleotides in length. Their secondary structure includes four short double-helical elements and three loops (D, anti-codon, and T loops). The record is from RNAcentral.
GGCGUAGCUCAAUUGGCAGAGCAGCUGAUUUGUAAUCAGCAGGUUGCGGGUUCAAGUCCCAUCG